AUGAAGUCAGGAGUCUAUAGGUUUCGAGCUCAUGGUCAGAUUUACCACAACAUCUUCUCAUUUGGUCCAACUCAAGAUGGGCCAAAGCAUUUAGAACUCUACUUCUAUGAUGACGAUCCCGGUUUACGACAUAGGAUUCGGUGCUCCCCGAACCUAGACCGAGAUGUCAUUCGAAGGCUUGUUGACAUCCUGAAGGAUAAUCCUUAUUCCGAAAUGUUCAAGAAUCUAGGUGGAGUCGAUGACCUUGAGGAAUACCGUAUUGAACUGAAAACCGACAUGAGGUUGGACCAACGGAGGUAUAAUGUGCCUAUAUCAUCGGAGGUUGCAGCUAUUUGGGUUGAGGGUAGUGAACUCUGUAAGUACUUUGAGCGUAGCAUAGUAUUGUUCGGCAACGCCAACAAGAGAUAUAGCAUCCAACCAUAUUAUGGAUGUUAUGAUCCGUUGUCUUACCCUUUAUUCUUCCCAAGAGGGGAGAUUGGUUGGCAUCCUGAAAUCCCAAAGAAUGGUGUCAACUUGAAUGAGAUGCUUCAGUCCCGUUGCAGUGGUCGACAAAGUCAAGGUAAUUCAUAUAAUGAAAAUAACAUGUGUUAA
RNAcentral lists this ribosomal RNA (591 nucleotides) under Triticum aestivum (bread wheat). RNAcentral's name for it is "partial small subunit ribosomal RNA". Lineage: Eukaryota; Viridiplantae; Streptophyta; Magnoliopsida; Poales; Poaceae. The record is from RNAcentral.